RNAcentral lists this long non-coding RNA (1347 nucleotides) under Oryctolagus cuniculus (rabbit). Its description in RNAcentral is "lncRNA (ENSOCUG00000029967.1)". Lineage: Eukaryota; Metazoa; Chordata; Mammalia; Lagomorpha; Leporidae. The record is from RNAcentral.
AUGCAGCCGCUGCCUGGGAACGCUCCCAGUCCCGCACGACUGCCCCUCCGCCCGCGGGGGUCUCUGGGCUCCGCGCUGCUCCCGGGGUGCGGAGGGACUCGGGAGGGGGCGGGUUCACUCGAGCCAGAAAGCCCGGAGCCGCCCAGGAAUUUUGGCUCGGGCUGGGAGCAUUUCCUCCCGGGCUGGCCCGGCGCGAUCCCGCGGAGGGCUGUCGCUGGCAGACGCGCACAGCGCUCGGUCCCGCCGGCAUCAUGCGGCCCCUGCUGUGCGCGCUGGCCGGGCUCGCCCUGCUCCGCGCCGCGGGCGCUCUGGCCGUACCCUAGGUUUCCUGUAUGUUCAGAGUGCAAACUGCCUCAGCAGCCCCGGCCACCAGCUGAUCUGCCCCUGCAUUGACGGAAGGGAAACUAAUGCAGGUAACCGAGGCAGGCUCUUCGUCAGGGCAGCUUUCUCGUGCCCUGAGUAAAAUCGGCACAGCAGACACUCACUGUGCUGGAGUGACAUCCAUAAGCGCUCAGAGCAGUCUGCAAGGCUCAUAGCAGGUCUAGAAAGUGACACAAGGGAGGGACCCCUUCCCUCCCCCAGAAAACGCAACACAAAUGCCCCUCCACUCCCAGCUCGCCCGUGGGAGGCUUAAGCCUCCUCCUCCAGCUUCAGCCAGGACAGCUGUCUGUAGAUUGGAGUUCCUCAUGCAAUCAUUUGAAUAUGCUUCAAAAUGACACUGAUGGUUUGGAUCAAAUCACAAGUGUUUAUGCAGACAGUGGAUGUGGUGAGUGCUAUUAUCCUAUGACAUCAAAUGCGGUCAACGGGAAGUAGGCCCCAGGUGGCCAGAGCUGCUGGCCAGCGCAGGGCGUGACUGGUGAUGCCGAGGUCUCCCGGCACCUUUCAGAUCGCACCCAGCACACAGAAAUCUUUUACGUUGCGGGCAUAUUCUUACUGGCCGGGUCCCAGACACAAAAGAUCUCCCCCUAAGACCUGGAAGCAGGAGGGGAGCCACAGAGGACAGGACCCAGGCCACGUCUCAAACUGGGGCAGCCAGCCCGGCGCCUCCCCCCGACCCCGGCCCCUGGGCUCCGCCCUGCAGUCUUCCCUCACCAGCGCCCAGUGCUGCUCCUCCACCCGUGGCCACUGUCCAGGGCGUACAUCAGGAGCCAGGGCAGAAACAACCCAGCACCAGGGAGGUCCGGGGUGGGGAGGGGAGGCUGGGGAGCCUCGGGCUUAGCUGCUCAGGGUCCGUCCUAGUAAUCCUUCCGCCGCUGCCAUUCCUCUUGUUUCCUGACAGCCUCGUGUGUGUGUGCACGCACGUGCAUGGGGAAGGCCCCCAGUUACGGUCUUGCUGGAAUUUCUGGU